Molecule: ribosomal RNA, 326 nt
Filed under: uncultured eukaryote
Lineage: Eukaryota
Description: partial 18S ribosomal RNA
Rfam family: Eukaryotic small subunit ribosomal RNA
Source: RNAcentral
CCCUUAGAUGUUCUGGGCCGCACGCGCGCUACACUGAUGCAUUCAACAAGCCUAGGCUUGACCGAGAGGUCCGGGUAAUCUUUGAAACUGCAUCGUGAUGGGGCUAGAUUAUUGCAAUUAUUAAUCUUCAACGAGGAAUGCCUAGUAAGCGUGAUUCAUCAAAUCGCGUUGAUUACGUCCCUGCCCUUUGUACACACCGCCCGUCGCUCCUACCGAUUGAAUGUGUUGGUGAGGAGCUCGGAUUGGCAGCAGUUGGUGGUUCGCCACCGGCUAUUGCUGAGAAGUCCUCCAAACCGCCCCAUUUAGAGGAAGGAGAAGUCGUAACA